This 106-nucleotide ribosomal RNA is filed under the name Hepatozoon canis. RNAcentral describes it as "partial small subunit ribosomal RNA". The record is from RNAcentral. Lineage: Eukaryota; Apicomplexa; Hepatozoidae.
UCAACUUUAUUAGAAGAGGCGCAUUUAUUAGAUAAAAAGCCAAUCUCCGCAGCCGGCGGGGGGGAGUAAAAGAAGUAAAAGAACUUAGCAAAUCGCAAAGUGAAAA